GCGGGGAUGGCGGAACUGGCAGACGCACUUGAUUUAGGCUCAAGAAAUUGAGGGUUCGACUCCUUCUCUCCGUACGA
RNAcentral lists this transfer RNA (77 nucleotides) under Chryseobacterium sp. Leaf404. RNAcentral's name for it is "tRNA-Leu". It matches the Rfam family "tRNA". Rfam says of the family: Transfer RNA (tRNA) molecules are approximately 80 nucleotides in length. Their secondary structure includes four short double-helical elements and three loops (D, anti-codon, and T loops). Lineage: Bacteria; Pseudomonadati; Bacteroidota; Flavobacteriia; Flavobacteriales; Weeksellaceae. The record is from RNAcentral.